Ceratotherium simum simum (southern white rhinoceros) is the source of this 250-nucleotide non-coding RNA. Lineage: Eukaryota; Metazoa; Chordata; Mammalia; Perissodactyla; Rhinocerotidae. The record is from RefSeq and is a predicted model, not a curated record.
ACUAAGAUUUUUUCCUAUUUUCUUUAUAGCUUUCUUAUUUAUGUUUAUGACUGAUUUUAAAUUAAUCUUUAUGGGCUGAAGUAGGGGUCAAGAUUAAUUUUCUUCCAUAUGGAUAUCCAGUUGAUCCAGCAUCAUCUGUUUAAAAGACUUUCCCUUUCUCCACUGAAAUAUAUUAGCACUUUUCUUGAGAAUCAACUGACACAAUGUGUGGACUCUCUCGUCCCACUUAUGACACACACGAACUAUCUCA